Choloepus didactylus (southern two-toed sloth) is the source of this 308-nucleotide long non-coding RNA. RefSeq lists it as uncharacterized. NCBI's taxonomy places the organism in Eukaryota, Metazoa, Chordata, Mammalia, Pilosa, Megalonychidae. The record is from RefSeq and is a predicted model, not a curated record. The transcript is spliced from 3 exons.
CAGGACAUGGCAGAGAAGGCUCCAUAUAAUUCUAAGACUUGACCACUCAUUCUCAAAUGGUUUCCAAAAAUCAAUGAGAGGACAAAAGCCUUUGCAAGUGCCACACAUCAAGUUCUGGUCCUCAGAGUGUUUUCUGUAACUACUGGUGGCCCCAAGAAUAAAGAACAAUGAUUGGCUUCCAGAUUGGCAACAUGACUGCAGCAGUGAGGAAGACAACAAUCCACAUAGGUAACAAUACUCAAGGAAGAAUCCAAUGAGAAAGGGUUGCCAGGAAUGGUUGUAUUGCACCUGCUACUUUGUAGACUGAG